GUAGUUAGCCGGGGCUUCCUCCAAGGGUACCGUCAUUAUUCUUCCCCAAGGACAGAAGUUUACGACCCAAAGGCCUUCUUCCUUCACGCGGCGUUGCUGCAUCAGGCUUGCGCCCAUUGUGCAAUAUUCCCCACUGCUGCCUCCCGUAGGAGUCUGGACCGUUUCUCAGUUCCAGUGUGGCCGAUCAGCCUCUCAGCUCGGCUACCCAUCGUAGACUUGGUGGGCCGUUGCCCCCGCCAACUAUCUAAUGGGACGCGAGCCCCUCUCCCUGCGGAUUUCUCCUUUGACCCCUCUGCCAUGCGACAGUGUGGUCUUAUGCGGUAUUAGCACCAGUUUCCCGGUGUUAUCCCCCUCACGAAAGUCAGGUUGCUCACGCGUUACUCACCCGUCCGCCACUAAGCUAAAAUCCGAAAAACUUAGCUCCGUUCGACUUGCCAUGUGUUAGGCACGCCGCCAGCGUUCGUCCUGAGCCAGAAUCAAACUCUAGA
This 488-nucleotide ribosomal RNA is filed under the name uncultured bacterium. Its description in RNAcentral is "partial 16S ribosomal RNA". The record is from RNAcentral.